Molecule: transfer RNA, 71 nt
Filed under: bacterium
Lineage: Bacteria
Description: tRNA-Pro
Rfam family: tRNA
About the family: Transfer RNA (tRNA) molecules are approximately 80 nucleotides in length. Their secondary structure includes four short double-helical elements and three loops (D, anti-codon, and T loops).
Source: RNAcentral
GGGGACCAGCUCAGUUGGUAGAGCGCAGCGUUCGGGACGCUGAGGUCGUGAGUUCGAAUCUCACGUCUUCG